Molecule: small nuclear RNA, 105 nt
Filed under: Nannospalax galili (Upper Galilee mountains blind mole rat)
Lineage: Eukaryota; Metazoa; Chordata; Mammalia; Rodentia; Spalacidae
Source: RNAcentral
GUGCUCACUUCAGCAGCAUAUAUACUAAAAUGGGAAUGAUACAGAGAAGAUUAGCAUGGUCUACACAAGGAUGGCAUGCAAAUUCGUGAAGCAUUCCAUAUUUUU